AUCCAAUCGAUAAGUCCCAAAUAGAACGAAACGCGCGUCCUGAAU
Molecule: non-coding RNA, 45 nt
Filed under: Schistosoma curassoni
Lineage: Eukaryota; Metazoa; Platyhelminthes; Trematoda; Strigeidida; Schistosomatidae
Source: RNAcentral